Cercocebus atys (sooty mangabey) is the source of this 5414-nucleotide long non-coding RNA. RefSeq lists it as uncharacterized. The transcript has 3 exons. Lineage: Eukaryota; Metazoa; Chordata; Mammalia; Primates; Cercopithecidae. The record is from RefSeq and is a predicted model, not a curated record.
GGUUCAAGUGAUCCUCCCACGUCAGCCUCUACCUCGGCUGGGACUACAAGCACACAUCACAGUACCUGGCUUAUUUAAAACUAUGAAUUCAACAUCAUUAAAUGGGAAAUUGGGAGUGCACAUUAGCACAGUAUUAUGUAGUAUACCUAACCUACGGAUGUAGUAGAUGUAAAUAACCUCAAGUAUAGGUAAUAGUAAAAUGUAAAAUAAUUAGGCAAUGAGGUGUUUCGAGUAUGUUUAAAACCUGGGCUGCUAAUACAAUUUAUUUAGUUAUAAAUUCACAUAGUUUAGUUUUCACUAAUGUCUGUGUUUACUAACCAGCUAGCAAAUUUCCUGGAAAUUUAACAAUCAGCUCUUGGGAACUGGGACUAGCCAGCCCUGGUGUACCACUGGUGAUUACCAAAGGCCUUGCUGAGAAAGGGACAUCUGAACAGGAACCUGAAAGAGGUGAGGUGAAGGCGUAAGGCCUGGGGACAUCUGGGGACCAGCACUCACUGGGAAAAGCACUUGCCUGGGAAAAGCAGCAUCUCAGGCUGGUGUGUCCACAUAUCCAUGCUCUUGUCCUUGCUGUGCCCUGAGCCUGGACAAUCUGUCCUCCUGAUAUGCUUAGUGACAGCCAUCAGGGCCAGACUUCCAGAUGACUGAGAGCGUAGAAUUCUUUAUUUCUCCCAGGCCUCCUUACAUCCUUUCUGGAAAAACAGGUGGCUAUGAAGGUGGUAUGAAUAAAUGAAUGACCAUAAGUAAACAAUCAGUGUUCUUCUGUGAUCCCAUAGCACCUUGAGCCCAGUUGUUUUUAGCUCUUUACAUUAUUAUCCUGUUCUUCUGUCCGUAUCGGCCUCCCCCAGCACCCCAUGGAGCCCGAUGUCAGGCGCAUGAAAACACCUGGCUCAUAGCUGAAGUUCCAUGAGAGCUUAGUUAUUGAAUGGGUCACCAUGACCUCAACCUGGGCUGGUUUAAGGCAUGAGUGGGUUUUAGUGAUCGCCCUUCUGUUGGGUGAAGUCCACAGGCUGAGGCCCUUCUGCUGGAGCAGCCUCGUUAGCAUGAUGGCUCACCCCCUGGCCUGUGCAAGUGAGGCCAAGGAGAGUGUACCCAAGCAGGCCCCAGCCCCAGCCCUAGCUAUUCACACACACCCACCACCUGUUGGGCCGUGGCUUGGGACUUCAUUGAGGCUGCGUUACCUAACCCUUGCAGCAACCCAGCAGGUGGGGAUCCUUAUCCCCACGUUACCUAUGAGGAAAAUGGGAGGACAGAAAAAUCACCCGGGUAGUAAGUGACAGAGCUUUCCCUUUGCUGCAUAGGUUGGGGAAGAGCUGGCGGAAUAUUCUGUAGAAUAUUAACUGUAGUAAUGCCAGGCAGCAUGGGUACAUGCUCAUUAGAACUGCAGCCACGCUUGGGAGCACAGCAGAAGAAAUUAGUGAUUCCACUUGGGGCAGGUGGUCAGGGAGCUCUUGGACACCAUAGAAACCACAGCCUGAGCUCUGACUUUUGGGUGGAAAAGGUGUGGGGGCUCUGGGCCCUCCCACUGGAAACCUAGGUGUCGGUGGGACCUCAGAAGUGAGGAUUUUCAUGAAGCUGGCUCAGGAUCUGGCCCCAAGUGCCUUAUUUAUUUAUUUAUUUAUUUAUCCACCAAAACAAGCUGAGGUAAUAUUUUUUAAAUGUUAACUUAUUUCCUCUGGUGUUUUCCUGUUAAUGCAGUAUGCUGGUCUGAGUCCACACCUCAGUGGAAGGGGUGUCAAGGAUGAAGGCACAAAUAGUGCCCUGCCCCCUCUGUCUUUCUGGUUUUGCUUUCUAAAACUUUGUGUCCUCAGUGGAACAAAGAGGAUUAGGAUUAAGGUAUCUCCAAAAUGUCUGGGGAGAAACAGUAAAGGGAGACAGAAGGUUCCCCCCAUCUAGUUGGGUUUGAGGAGGUAGAGGAUGAAGUUAAUGAGAGCAGGGUGGGCCAGUCUAACAUGGGGAGUCCCCAGGCACUGCAGGUCCCGCAGAAAGUUUUGGGAAGCCCAAGGCAGGAGUGCUGUACCUCUUUCCCUGGGGGAAGAACCCUGGGGGAAAGCAGGAAGACCCCAUGAGGGAGUGGCUGCAGACCCAGAGGAGUCCUUUGCUCCAGCCUGGCAUGGAGGGAGUCGAAGGAUCCUCUGCCCUUGUGAGGCAUAGAGAUGAUAGAGGGCCCUGCCAGACCUCAGGGACUGUUGGGACAGGAACAAUGCCUGUGGGCACUGCUUCCUUAGGACCAGCAGGAUCCUGGGAGUCUCAUCAGAAGCCUAGCUGGACCAGUGAACUAAGAACCAGCUCCCAUGUCUCUGCCCUGAGUCCUGGCGUGGCAUGACUCACUGAAAUUUAGCCACAAUCCCAGGAAAGAGGGUGAGAGAAACCUCAAAUGGAUGACAUUUCAGUUUCUGUUACCAUGGGAGUAUAGUGGCUUCAAGUAAAAAUUAGGUCAAGUUACAGAGUCAUAAACUACAGAAAAUAUUUAUCAAGCCCCUAAGACUUUAGGCACUGGGGUUGGGAGUGGGGAAAAUCAGUAAAUUGGGGACCUGUCAGCGGUCCCUCUGUCUACGUUCCUGAAUUAGAAGUUAUGCCAGGGGUUGGCUUCUAUAGAGGUUCCUCUGUAUGCACGGUAGUACCACUGAUGUGUGUUAGGCACUGACUUUAUGCCAAUCCUUGCACCAAGAACACCCUUCUUCCUGUUUUAGACAGGUUCUUGGGGCUAAAAGACCAAGCACUUUUUGCAAUACCAAGUGGCUGUUUGGGGUUGAAUUGUGUCCCCACAAAAUAUAUGAAAGUCUUAACCCUGGUACCCGUGAAUAUGACCUAACAUGGAAAAGCGGUCUUUGCAGAUGAUAAGAUAUGUUUGUUAGGGUGGGCCUAAUGCAGUAUGGCUGCAUUCUUAUAAAAGGGGGGAAUUUGAAGAUAGGGACAGACAUGCAUUCAGGGAGAAUGCCAUAUGAAGACAAAGGCAGAGAUCGGCGUGUUGCACCUACAAGCCAAAGAUUGCCAGCAAACCACGAGAAGAUAGGAGAGAGGCACGGGACAGAUUCUCCCUCAUAGCCUCAGAAGGAAUGGACUCUGUCAAGACUCUGAUCUCAGAUUGCUGGCCUCCAGAACUGUGAGACAAUAAACUUCUGAAUGGCUUAAAAAAAUUUAAGUCACCCAUCUGUGGUACUUUGUUAUGGCAGCCUAGGAUACUAAUACAGUGGGUGACAAUCCCACAAAGGGGAAAGAUGACUUAAAUACUCCUUCUCAUCCACCAACACAACCCAAUGGUCCUAUAGGCACAACUACAUCUAACAAAUAUUUUAGGUGUGUUUAAACAUGGGCUAGUUAUGAAGUAGAGGAAGAGAUGGUUACCAUGACAAUAAAUUUCUGAAUGGCUGAAAUAAAUUUAAGCCACCAAUCUGUGGUACUUGGUUACAGCAGCCGAGGAUACUAAUACAGUGGGUGACCCCAGAGGCUUUGACUUAAGCCAUGGAGUCGUGAACCACAGAACUAACCACUAUACUGCUGUGCAGCUGGAUUCUACAGAAUAGAAUGUCUCUUUUCUCUCUGCUCCAUUAACCCUUCUUUACUUCUUCCCAUAUCCUUUGCACUAUUUUUAAUUGAAAUCAUCUCUAUUCUUUCUUAUCAAAGACCUCACUCAAGUACCCUGUGAUCCUUCCUCUCUGGGUCAUUGGGAGUUCCAGAAACACCCCUUGUACUCUCGGACCCCAGGAACGUAGCUUAUGCUGCUCCCUGCCUGAAAUGCUCUCUACCAUCUGCCAGUGGCCAUCUAUUAAAUCUGAAUCAUCUUUCAAGUCAGAUUUACUGUCUCCCUCCUCUACCAUCAACAGCAUUAAAAAACUAAGUCUUUGUACACUCAGAAUCUUGUUGGGAAUGGACAUAGCUGACUUCUUAAGUGCCUUGGAUAUUUCUAGAAGGUCCCAGAGAGCAGGUGCUUUAAAACUUCCCCACAUUCUAAGACAACUGAAUCUGUGACUUUAACCUGGAGUUCUUCACCCCUUCUUUCUCUUCUGGUUUCUCAAAUUUGCCUGCCCAUGAAAAACAAAUAUCUUCAAAUGACUCUAUACUUGGCAUAUAUCUACCCCAUUAACAGAUUUUUUUUCAAUCCAGGCAAGAAACCCUUAUUCCACUUCCUUCCUAGCUCCUUCCUGUAUUUUAACAAGGUUUUGUCAUCUCCUUGUGCUAGCCUCAGCAGAGAUGAUUUGGCUGGAUGAGCAUUUUAUUUUGGCAUUUGAAGAUGGUGUUGGUGGAGCCUUCCAUCCGUAUACUGUGAAAGAAUACAAACAGAACUAAACCAUCCAGUUUCAGGUCCUGGAUCCUCUCCAGUUUCAGAUGAAGGCAGAAACCCUGCUCCUCCAGAACUGCAGCGUGGCCAGUGCCCUGAGAGCAGACGAGUGGGGAGCCAGAACGACCGUGGCCGCUUCUGCGCAGUGGAACACUGGCCCUUGACAGCUGCAGGGGUCUGGAGGAGCUGCUGGCCUGGCGCUUUGCAGGGCUUGUGCUGAGAACUCUUCUCCUUUUUUGGAAAACAAAUCAAACCCUGCAAGGAAACCUCAGGCUGGACAGAUUUUCCUUGAGAAGAAUCCACUCUGAUGUGUGCCUCUCCUUGGUGGCUUUCUGCCACAACCUUUGAAAGUUAAGGCCACUUUGUGCUGCUGUAGGCCACUUCUCUGAGGAGCCCCAGAGUCUCUGAAUCUUACAAGUGCUGACUGAAAGAAGCCUGCACUUGCCUAACAAAGGGGAAAGAUGACUGAAAUACUCCUUCUCAUCCACCAAGACGGCCCAGUGUUCCCACAGACGCAAUUACAUCUAACAAGUAUUUUGGGUGUGUUUAAAGCAUGGGCUAGUUAUGAAGGAGAGGAAGGGAUGAUUUAUUGAGCACUGUGGUCAGCAGCCUGAAGAUGGUCCCCAGUGAUCUCCACCUUCCAGAAUUCACAUCCUUGUGCAAUCUCCUUUCCUUGAAUGUGUGCUGGACCUAGUGACUCACUUCUAGCAACUGGAAUACAACAAAAGUGACAGAAUGUCACUUUUGAGAUUAGGUUACAAGAGGACUGUGACUUCCACCUCACUCUUUCUCAGACUUCAGUCUGGGGAAAUCCAGCUGCUGUGUUUUGAGUAACAUUAUGGAGAAAUUUGUGUGGCAAGAAAAUAGUAUCUUCAGUCAAUAGUCAGCAAGGAUCCUAACAUCUGCCAACACCACGUGACUGAGCUGGAAAGUCGAUUUUCUGAGGACUGCCAACAGCCACCCGAGUGAGCUGGGAAACAGAUCCCCCCUUGCCGUUGACCCUUGAGACUGUAGCCUGACAGACACCUUGAUUACAGCCUUGUGAAAGAUCUGCAUCCCAAUCACCCAACUAAGCUGCACCUGUUCCUGAAUUUCUGACUCAGAGAAACUGCUGUAGUCAAUGGCGUGAUUUCGG